RNAcentral lists this long non-coding RNA (219 nucleotides) under Carica papaya (papaya). RNAcentral's name for it is "long non-coding RNA (CPAP_LNC006543)". Lineage: Eukaryota; Viridiplantae; Streptophyta; Magnoliopsida; Brassicales; Caricaceae. The record is from RNAcentral.
UGAUUUUUAUCUUUUUUUAUUUUUUUAUUUUUUUUAUUUUUUUUUUAUUUUAGAGAAAAAAUUUAGAAAAAAAUCAAAAAAUAGCAAAACGGGAGAAAACCUGCUCGCGGGAAAAAUCCCGCGAGAAAACAGUUUCCCCACACAGGGGUUAAGCAUUGUGUGCGCGCGCAUGCUCACACAGUGGUCGUGGGGCACGGGCACUGUGCGCACACCACGUCU